Long non-coding RNA from Lolium rigidum, 516 nucleotides. RefSeq lists it as uncharacterized. The transcript has 5 exons. The record is from RefSeq and is a predicted model, not a curated record. NCBI's taxonomy places the organism in Eukaryota, Viridiplantae, Streptophyta, Magnoliopsida, Poales, Poaceae.
GGGGCUGGGUGGCAGUGUUCCACAUCAGUAGAACACUACUUAAUUUGUCUUUACAAAUUCUCGGAACUUAAGUAUGGGUGACGGCCUGCUUUUCGACAUAGAAGAAUACCAUAAGGAAAUGCUGUGCAUACCUCGACUGCUCUUCCUUUGGGUCGCCUGUUCUCUGUAUGUGUUUGGUCCAACAUAUAACUAAGAGUGCGUACCUCGACUAAGAGCCGUCUACCCAUGCUGGUGGAGGUGGUGGUCUAGCGAAGAAAGCUAGAAACUAAGUUACCCUGCGCCUGCAGAGAUGCUACUCCUUAAGGUCUCUGUUGCCGAAUGUCUCAUUGUUGAUGUAUAUUGAGACCAGCUACCUCUGCCUUUUAGAAUCGGUGUUGGUUACACAAAACUCAUCAGGUUAUUGACGCGUGUUUCCAAACUGAUCGAAACUUAUGUAUUUAGUACUAUUUACAUGUGAUCAAAACUUAUGUAUUGAAUGCGGUGUGAAUUUCUAUAUUGCUUCCCAUGUGUGCUUCA